RNAcentral lists this ribosomal RNA (253 nucleotides) under uncultured bacterium. RNAcentral's name for it is "partial 16S ribosomal RNA". It matches the Rfam family "Bacterial small subunit ribosomal RNA", at positions 524 to 776 of the family's 1533-position model. The record is from RNAcentral.
UACGGAGGGUGCAAGCGUUAUCCGGAUUCACUGGGUUUAAAGGGUGCGUAGGUGGGCCGGUAAGUCAGUGGUGAAAUCUCUGGGCUUAACCCGGAAACUGCCGUUGAUACUAUCUGUCUUGAAUGUAGUGGAGGUGAGCGGAAUAUGUCAUGUAGCGGUGAAAUGCGUAGAUAUGACAUAGAACACCCAUUGCGAAGGCAGCUCGCUACACUAUUAUUGACACUGAGGCACGAAAGCGUGGGGAUCAAACAGG